This 460-nucleotide ribosomal RNA is filed under the name uncultured Bacteroidota bacterium. Its description in RNAcentral is "bacterial SSU rRNA". It matches the Rfam family "Bacterial small subunit ribosomal RNA", at positions 39 to 492 of the family's 1533-position model. The record is from RNAcentral. Lineage: Bacteria; Pseudomonadati; Bacteroidota.
GCGGCAGGCUUAACACAUGCAAGUCGAGGGGUAACAGGGAUUGCUUGCAAUCCGCUGACGACCGGCGCACGGGUGCGUAACGCGUAUGCAACCUACCUUUUACAAGGGGAUAGCCCAGAGAAAUUUGGAAUAAUACCCUAUACGAUCAUCAAUUGGCAUCAAUUAAUGAAGAAAACUCCGGUGGUAAAAGAUGGGCAUGCGUCCUAUUAGUUAGUUGGUAAGGUAACGGCUUACCAAGACUUCGAUAGGUAGGGGUCCUGAGAGGGAGAUCCCCCACACUGGUACUGAGACACGGACCAGACUCCUACGGGAGGCAGCAGUGAGGAAUAUUGGACAAUGGAGGCAACUCUGAUCCAGCCAUGCCGCGUGCAGGAAGACGGCCCUACGGGUUGUAAACUGCUUUUAUACAGGAAGAACUAUAUCUACGUGUAGAUAUUUGACGGUACUGUACGAAUAAGGA